CGGUAUUCUAACCAGAAAGGCCACGGCUAAUUACGUGCCAGCAGCCGGCGGUUAAUACGUAGGUGGGCCAAGCGUUGUUCCGGGAUUUAUUGGGCGUAAAGCGAAGCCGCAGGGCGGUUUCUUAAGUUCUGAUGUGAAAGGCCCCCGGGUUCAACCGGGGAGGGGUCAUGGGAAACUGGGAGACUGGAGUGCAGAGGAGGGAGAGUGGAAUUCCAGGUGUAGCGGUGAAAGGCGUAGAUAUAUGGAGGAACACCAGUGGGGAAGGCGGUUCUCUGUUCUGUAACUGACGCUGAGGUUCGAAAGCGUGGGGAGCAACCAGGAUUAGAUACCUUGGUAUUCCACGCCGUAAACGAUGAGUGUUAAGUGUUGGAGGGUUUCCGCCCUUCAGUGCUGCAGUUAACGCAUUAAGCACUCCCCCUGGGGAGUACGCCCGCAAGGUUGAAAUUCAAAGGAAUUGACGGGGGCCCGCACAAGCGGUGGAGCAUGUGGUUUAAUUGGAAGCAACGGGAAGACCCUUACCAGUUCUUGACAUCCUUUGACCAUUUUAGAGAUAGAGUUUCCCCUUCGGGGGCAAAGUGACAGGUGGGGCAUGGUUUUCGUCAGUUCGUUUCGUGAGAUGUUGGGUUAAUUCCCGCAACGAGCGCACCCCUUAUUGUUAGUUGCCAUCAUUCAGUUGGGCAUUUUAGCAAGACUGCCGGGGACAACCCGGAGGAAGGUGGGGAGGACGUCAAAUCAUCAUGCCCUUUAUGCCCUGGGUUACACACGUGUUACAAUGGGAAGUACAAGGAGUGGGGAAGUCGGGAGGUUAAGUUAUUUUCUUAAAGCUUUUUUCAGUUCGGAUUGCAGGCUGCAAUUCCCCUGCAGGAAGCCGGAAUCGUUAGUAUUCGCGGAUCAGCACGCCGCGGGGAAUACGUUCCCGGCCCUUGUACACCCCGCCCGUCACACCAGGAGAGUUGUAACACCCGAAGUCGGUGAGGUAACGUGUGAGCCAGCGCAAUGG
RNAcentral lists this ribosomal RNA (1000 nucleotides) under Enterococcus faecium. RNAcentral describes it as "bacterial SSU rRNA". It matches the Rfam family "Bacterial small subunit ribosomal RNA", at positions 473 to 1462 of the family's 1533-position model. The record is from RNAcentral. Lineage: Bacteria; Bacillati; Bacillota; Bacilli; Lactobacillales; Enterococcaceae.